This 489-nucleotide ribosomal RNA is filed under the name Saturnia jonasi fukudai. RNAcentral's name for it is "partial 16S ribosomal RNA". The stretch from base 1 to 164 matches the Rfam family "Archaeal large subunit ribosomal RNA", at positions 1890 to 2097 of the family's 2987-position model. Lineage: Eukaryota; Metazoa; Arthropoda; Insecta; Lepidoptera; Saturniidae. The record is from RNAcentral.
GCCUGUUUAUCAAAAACAUGUCUUUUUGAGAAAUAAUUUAAAGUCUAAUCUGCCCACUGAUAUAAUAUUAAAGGGCUGCAGUAUUUUGACUGUACAAAGGUAGCAUAAUCAUUAGUCUUUUAAUUGGUGACUUGUAUGAAAGAUUGGAUGAGAUAUAAACUGUCUAAAAAAUAAUUUAUUGAAAUUAAUUUUUUAAUUAAAAAGUUAAAAUAUAUUAAAAAGACGAGAAGACCCUAUAGAGUUUUAUAUUAAUUUAAAUUUUAAUUAUAUAUAAAUGUUAAUAAUUAUAAAUUUAAAUUAAUAUUUUAUUGGGGUGAUAAAAAAAUAAAAAAAACUUUUUUUAAGGGUAACCAUAGAUAAGUGAUUUUUUGAUCCAAUUAUAUUGAUUAAAAGAAAAAAUUACCUUAGGGAUAACAGCGUAAUUUUUUUUUUUAGUUCAUAUAAGAAAAAAAGUUUGCGACCUCGAUGUUGGAUUAAGAUAAAAUUUAA